GGCGGGAGCUGAGGGGGGGAGG
Molecule: microRNA, 22 nt
Filed under: Gallus gallus (chicken)
Lineage: Eukaryota; Metazoa; Chordata; Aves; Galliformes; Phasianidae
Description: gga-miR-12253-5p
Source: miRBase by way of RNAcentral